Long non-coding RNA from Salvia miltiorrhiza (redroot sage), 506 nucleotides. RefSeq lists it as uncharacterized. The transcript has 3 exons. The record is from RefSeq and is a predicted model, not a curated record. Lineage: Eukaryota; Viridiplantae; Streptophyta; Magnoliopsida; Lamiales; Lamiaceae.
ACCAGUAUUGCCCAAGGAGGGCCCUAUGCUUCUCGGACAUCUAUUGUGAAACUCUUACGUUCAGUCAAGAGGGAAACAUUAAAGCUCAUUGAGACAUUUUUAGAAAAAGCUGAGACAUUAACAGAUAAAGCUGAAGAACAGAAACAUCUCGGAAAACAGUUUGUGCCUCCAAUGAUGGACCAUGUGCUGGGUGACUAUGCCCGGAAUUUGCCUGAUGCGAGAGAGUCAGAAGUUUUAUCUCUCUUCGCAACAAUAAUAAAUAAGUACAAGGGAACAAUGAUUGAGAAGGUUCCUCGAAUAUUUGAAGCUGUAUUCCAGUGUACACUAGAGGUUGGUGAAGCGUUUGGGUACAUAUUAGUUGUUUCAUAAUAAUCAAUGUCUUUUUUUUUUUUUUAAUUCUUAAUUAUCAUAUUUACUCAGGCAACAAGAUCUUGAAGCUAUUUAAACUGUGCUUUCACCAUGCAUAUAAAUCAGUGUUAAUAUUUUAUGCUGCUAUUAUUGGAUAC